CAGAUUGAACGCUGGCGGCAGGCUUAACACAUGCAAGUCGAGCGGUAGCACAGGGGAGCUUGCUCCCUGGGUGACGAGCGGCGGACGGGUGAGUAAUGUCUGGGAAACUGCCUGAUGGAGGGGGAUAACUACUGGAAACGGUAGCUAAUACCGCAUAACGUCGCAAGACCAAAGAGGGGGACCUUCGGGCCUCUUGCCAUCAGAUGUGCCCAGAUGGGAUUAGCUAGUAGGUGGGGUAAUGGCUCACCUAGGCGACGAUCCCUAGCUGGUCUGAGAGGAUGACCAGCCACACUGGAACUGAGACACGGUCCAGACUCCUACGGGAGGCAGCAGUGGGGAAUAUUGCACAAUGGGCGCAAGCCUGAUGCAGCCAUGCCGCGUGUGUGAAGAAGGCCUUCGGGUUGUAAAGCACUUUCAGCGAGGAGGAAGGUGGUGAGCUUAAUACGCUCAUCAAUUGACGUUACUCGCAGAAGAAGCACCGGCUAACUCCGUGC
This 494-nucleotide ribosomal RNA is filed under the name Serratia marcescens. RNAcentral describes it as "bacterial SSU rRNA". It matches the Rfam family "Bacterial small subunit ribosomal RNA", at positions 25 to 508 of the family's 1533-position model. The record is from RNAcentral. Lineage: Bacteria; Pseudomonadati; Pseudomonadota; Gammaproteobacteria; Enterobacterales; Yersiniaceae.